This 1369-nucleotide ribosomal RNA is filed under the name uncultured bacterium. RNAcentral's name for it is "bacterial SSU rRNA". It matches the Rfam family "Bacterial small subunit ribosomal RNA", at positions 28 to 1381 of the family's 1533-position model. The record is from RNAcentral.
GACGAACGCUGGCGGCGUGCCUAAUACAUGCAAGUAGAACGCUGAAGAGAGGAGCUUGCUCUUCUUGGAUGAGUUGCGAACGGGUGAGUAACGCGUAGGUAACCUGCCUUGUAGCGGGGGAUAACUAUUGGAAACGAUAGCUAAUACCGCAUAACAAUGGAUGACACAUGUCAUUUAUUUGAAAGGGGCAAUUGCUCCACUACAAGAUGGACCUGCGUUGUAUUAGCUAGUAGGUGAGGUAAUGGCUCACCUAGGCGACGAUACAUAGCCGACCUGAGAGGGUGAUCGGCCACACUGGGACUGAGACACGGCCCAGACUCCUACGGGAGGCAGCAGUAGGGAAUCUUCGGCAAUGGGGGCAACCCUGACCGAGCAACGCCGCGUGAGUGAAGAAGGUUUUCGGAUCGUAAAGCUCUGUUGUAGGUCAAGAACGGGUGUGAGAGUGGAAAGUUCACACUGUGACGGUAGCUUACCAGAAAGGGACGGCUAACUACGUGCCAGCAGCCGCGGUAAUACGUAGGUCCCGAGCGUUGUCCGGAUUUAUUGGGCGUAAAGCGAGCGCAGGCGGUUUGAUAAGUCUGAAGUUAAAGGCUGUGGCUCAACCAUAGUUCGCUUUGGAAACUGUCAAACUUGAGUGCAGAAGGGGAGAGUGGAAUUCCAUGUGUAGCGGUGAAAUGCGUAGAUAUAUGGAGGAACACCGGUGGCGAAAGCGGCUCUCUGGUCUGUAACUGACGCUGAGGCUCGAAAGCGUGGGGAGCGAACAGGAUUAGAUACCCUGGUAGUCCACGCCGUAAACGAUGAGUGCUAGGUGUUGGAUCCUUUCCGGGAUUCAGUGCCGCAGCUAACGCAUUAAGCACUCCGCCUGGGGAGUACGACCGCAAGGUUGAAACUCAAAGGAAUUGACGGGGGCCCGCACAAGCGGUGGAGCAUGUGGUUUAAUUCGAAGCAACGCGAAGAACCUUACCAGGUCUUGACAUCCCGAUGCUAUUUCUAGAGAUAGAAGGUUACUUCGGUACAUCGGUGACAGGUGGUGCAUGGUUGUCGUCAGCUCGUGUCGUGAGAUGUUGGGUUAAGUCCCGCAACGAGCGCAACCCCUAUUGUUAGUUGCCAUCAUUCAGUUGGGCACUCUAGCGAGACUGCCGGUAAUAAACCGGAGGAAGGUGGGGGUGACGUCAAAUCAUCAUGCCCCUUAUGACCUGGGCUACACACGUGCUACAAUGGUUGGUACAACGAGUUGCGAGUCGGUGACGGCGAGCUAAUCUCUUAAAGCCAAUCUCAGUUCGGAUUGUAGGCUGCAACUCGCCUACAUGAAGUCGGAAUCGCUAGUAAUCGCGGAUCAGCACGCCGCGGUGAAUACGUUCCCGGGCCU